RNAcentral lists this non-coding RNA (205 nucleotides) under Erysipelotrichaceae bacterium. RNAcentral describes it as "T-box sequence". It matches the Rfam family "T-box leader". Rfam says of the family: Uncharged tRNA acts as the effector for transcription antitermination of genes in the T-box leader family. Lineage: Bacteria; Bacillati; Bacillota; Erysipelotrichia; Erysipelotrichales; Erysipelotrichaceae. The record is from RNAcentral.
GAUAAACCAGUGACAAGGAUGAGUACCGGCAUAUGUGUGGAAAACAGCGAUUUCUGAAUGGUGGAAGCAGAGACAAAGCAGGCUGGGAAUGCCCCUUGGAGGGAUUUUUCGAUAAUGUAGAAGAAUACGUAGUUCGGCGUUAACGGUACAAGUGGAAAAGCAUUUUUCAAAUAGAGUGGAACCGCGCGGAUACAGCGUCUCUAUA